ACUGUACAGUAGAGUUUGAUCAUGGCUCAGGACGAACGCUGGCGGCGUGCUUAACACAUGCAAGUCGAACGGUGAAGCCCUUCGGGGUGGAUCAGUGGCGAACGGGUGAGUAACACGUGGGCAAUCUGCCCUGCACUCUGGGACAAGCCCUGGAAACGGGGUCUAAUACCGGAUGUGACCAUCUUGGGCAUCCUUGGUGGUGUAAAGCUCCGGCGGUGCAGGAUGAGCCCGCGGCCUAUCAGCUUGUUGGUGGGGUAAUGGCCUACCAAGGCGACGACGGGUAGCCGGCCUGAGAGGGCGACCGGCCACACUGGGACUGAGACACGGCCCAGACUCCUACGGGAGGCAGCAGUGGGGAAUAUUGCACAAUGGGCGAAAGCCUGAUGCAGCGACGCCGCGUGAGGGAUGACGGCCUUCGGGUUGUAAACCUCUUUCAGCAGGGAAGAAGCGCAAGUGACGGUACCUGCAGAAGAAGCACCGGCUAACUACGUGCCAGCCGCCGCGGUAAU
RNAcentral lists this ribosomal RNA (509 nucleotides) under uncultured Streptomycetaceae bacterium. RNAcentral's name for it is "bacterial SSU rRNA". It matches the Rfam family "Bacterial small subunit ribosomal RNA", at positions 1 to 524 of the family's 1533-position model. The record is from RNAcentral. Lineage: Bacteria; Bacillati; Actinomycetota; Actinomycetes; Kitasatosporales; Streptomycetaceae.